UACAGGGGGGGCAAGCGUUGUUCGGAAUUACUGGGCGUAAAGGGCUCGUAGGCGGCCAACUAAGUCGGAUGUGAAAUCCCCAGGCUUAACCUGGGAACUGCAUCCGAUACUGGAUGGCUUGAAUCCGGGAGAGGGAUGCAGAAUUCCAGGUGUAGCGGUGAAAUGCGUAGAUAUCUGGAGGAAUACCGGUGGCGAAGGCGGCAUCCUGGACCAAUAUUGACGCUGAGGAGCGAAAGCCAGGGGAGCAAACGGG
Molecule: ribosomal RNA, 253 nt
Filed under: uncultured bacterium
Lineage: Bacteria
Description: partial 16S ribosomal RNA
Rfam family: Bacterial small subunit ribosomal RNA
Source: RNAcentral